Molecule: long non-coding RNA, 1470 nt
Filed under: Homo sapiens (human)
Lineage: Eukaryota; Metazoa; Chordata; Mammalia; Primates; Hominidae
Description: HSALNT0393802
Source: RNAcentral
ACAAAGCAAAUGCCUUUAUAAAAAGUGACUGUUAAGAUUGCAUAAUAAAGGAAUCUGGACUAGAAGGGUGAUAGAACAAUAAAAGCAGUUUGCUCUAGUGGUGGGAUCCUUGGUACCUUUUCAUUUAAGUCUUGGUUAAUGUUAUGUGUUUAAUAAAUAGCACCUAUUUAAAGUGAUAUAUUUAGAUUAAAAUUAUUUCAAAGAUGUCAUUUAUAUUCUUAAAAUUAGGUACUUCCUCCUGAUGAAUGUUUUCAGGUGAUUCAUUUUAAUGGAGAAUGAAAUAAAGCUAUAUUAUCUGCCCAAAACUGAAUGUAUUUCAAAGACCCUAUUAGACAAAGAAUUAGAACCACUGGAGUUUACGUAGUUUAAUAAUCUAAACAAAAAUAUACCUUCCACAAAAGAAGAGAAAUAUUUAGUGAGUACCUAUCGUGUACCAGGCUCUUACUCUUCCUAGUCAUUCUAUAAGACGGAUGCUUGGAGCCACAUUUCACAGAUGAGAAACAGGGCAGGGAUAGCGAGGAGGCAACAGAACCUGACUGAAGACUCCACAGCCCAUGCCCUGCUGUUCCAACUCUUGAUGGGGCCACCGCCAUAAUUAAAUAUCAACAUGUAUCUCGUUCACUAAAGACUAUUUAUGCCUGAGCAUGCAAUAAUCAGAAAUACCAAACACACUCAAAAGAUAUGCACACAAAAUCCACAUAAUAAUUGUAUGUUUCCAGCACUUUGUUAGGCAACAUGGUCUCUUCUUUCAACCUUGUUAGCUAGAUGAAAUUACUAGAUAACAGCCUAUCAGAGAACAGUAACAGCGGCAGGUAACCUGAGAUCAAGGGAUGUGCUUUAGAACAUAAGCCCCCCUAAACAGUGCAUAUAUAAUUAUCUCCCAGGUAUCCCCGAUUCUAACAGUUGCUCCACCCUCCUCUUUCUUCCUUUAUUCCCUGCUCUCUCUCAAGCUCCUCAAACUUUCCACUCCCCAGUCUCAACUGUAAUCGCCUGUCAGUGGGAGUGGGAAAAGGGAAGGAUGGGGAGGAAAUGAAGAAAACACAAGCAAGACUCCUCUUCUGAAGCUGUUGAAGUAACUUCUUAUCGAACACUCUACCCUAGGGCUGCCAGUUGGCAGUUGGAAGAAAAGGAAAAGCGAAGGGUAAAAAGAUGACAAGGUUAUCAGUCCAGAGAUAGAGUGAAGAUAUAAAAAGGCUACUCAGUGGUAGUAGUGACUCUGCGCUACCUCCUAGGCAGCCCAGUCCCACAGAGACCCAGCAGUUGGCCAGAAGGACUGUGUAUUGGCAGCUUUCACAAAAGUGGACUUCGUCAAGUCUGAAGAGUCUUCAAGUGUGAAACUUGGUGCACAAGCAUUUGUAUCACACCAUUUCAACACUAUUCCUAAUAUCAUAAAGCUGUUCAAUGUCCAAAAACUGGUGACUUACAAUGCACUUAAAAGGCACUCAUUAAUAAAAGUAUCUUCAAAAACCA